Molecule: long non-coding RNA, 459 nt
Filed under: Capsicum annuum
Lineage: Eukaryota; Viridiplantae; Streptophyta; Magnoliopsida; Solanales; Solanaceae
Description: long non-coding RNA (CANN_LNC005972)
Source: RNAcentral
CCAUUCAGACAUUAUACAAAUGACACAUCACCAACCAAAAGAAUGCUCAAAUUCAGACUUAAAAGGGAGAACAGGUAGGACAAACAUCAUUGAGACCGAACCUUGGAUUUUACUUGCCAAAAACAAUGGAAUGCUUCCUCCACCAUGCCCAAUGCAUAAAAUUUUCAUUGGUUUUCUCCCAUAAACUGCACUUUCAAGAUCAAAUUUGCAAGAUGCUAUUGUAGCCAAGCCAGCAGAGACCAUGCUUUUCACAUCUGUAGAGGAGAUGAUACGAAAGAUGCAGCAUAAAAAUUGUGAAAGAAUGGUCAUCAUUGAGGAGAACUGAGGGAUCUAAAAUGAGAAAAGUGUCUCAUACUCUUUACCAUCUUAGUUUUAUUUUCAAUAUCAGCAGCUCAACAGCAGAAGUUUAUAGUAGAAAAAUAUUCAUGCUUAUUUGCUCUUCUAAUCGCUUGAUUUGCC